GAUGAACGCUGGCGGCGUGCCUAAUACAUGCAAGUCGAGCGAACGGACGAGAAGCUUGCUUUUCUGAUGUUAGCGGCGGACGGGUGAGUAACACGUGGAUAACCUACCUAUAAGACUGGGAUAACUUCGGAAAACCGGAUCUAAUACCGGAUAAUAUUUUGAACCGCAUGGUUCAAAAGUGAAAGACGGUCUUGCUGUCACUUAUAGAUGGAUCCGCGCUGCAUUAGCUAGUUGGUAAGGUAACGGCUUACCAAGGCUACGAUGCAUAGCCGACCUGAGAGGGUGAUCGGCGACACUGGAAGUGAGCCACGGUCAAGACUCCUACGGGAGGCAGCAGUAGGGAAUCUUCCGCAAUGGGCGAAAGCCUGACGGAGCAACGCCGCGUGAGUGAUGAAGGUCUUGGGAUCGUAAAACUGUGUUAUUAGGGAAGAACAUAUGUGUAAGUAACUGUGCACAUCUUGACGGUACCGAAUCAGAAAGCAACGGCUAACUACGUG
Molecule: ribosomal RNA, 497 nt
Filed under: uncultured bacterium
Lineage: Bacteria
Description: partial 16S ribosomal RNA
Rfam family: Bacterial small subunit ribosomal RNA
Source: RNAcentral